AUGCAUGUGGAAAUGCCUUCUCAUUCCUUUUGGAGCAGGACUGCAUCCAUAACAUGCUACAUUAAUAAAGGAGUUCUCAGGGCUGCCAACCUUACAGUAGAGGUUGAGUGGUAGUAUAUUUCUCCUACACAA
This is a small nucleolar RNA of Oryctolagus cuniculus (rabbit), 132 nucleotides long. The record is from Ensembl. NCBI's taxonomy places the organism in Eukaryota, Metazoa, Chordata, Mammalia, Lagomorpha, Leporidae.